UACAGAGGUCCCAAGCGUUGUUCGGAUACACUGGGCGUAAAGGGUGCGUAGGUGGCAGUGUAAGUCUGAUGUGAAAGCUUCGAGCUUAACUCGAAAAUGGCAUUGGAUACUAUAUUGCUGGAGGUUUGGAGGGGGGACUGGAAUUCUCGGUGUAGCAGUGAAAUGCGUAGAUAUCGAGAGGAACACCGGUGGCGAAGGCGAGUCCCUGGACAACACCUGACACUGAGGCACGAAAGCUAGGGGAGCAAACAGG
RNAcentral lists this ribosomal RNA (253 nucleotides) under uncultured bacterium. RNAcentral's name for it is "partial 16S ribosomal RNA". It matches the Rfam family "Bacterial small subunit ribosomal RNA", at positions 524 to 776 of the family's 1533-position model. The record is from RNAcentral.